This 440-nucleotide ribosomal RNA is filed under the name uncultured bacterium. Its description in RNAcentral is "partial 16S ribosomal RNA". It matches the Rfam family "Bacterial small subunit ribosomal RNA", at positions 338 to 795 of the family's 1533-position model. The record is from RNAcentral.
CCUACGGGAGGCAGCAGUGGGGGAUAUUGCACAAUGGGGGAAACCCUGAUGCAGCGACGCCGCGUGAGUGAAUAAGUAUUUCGGUAUGUAAAGCUCUAUCAGCAGGGAAGAAAAUGACAGUACCUGACCAAGAAGCCCCGGCUAACCACGUGCCAGCAGCCGCGGUAAUACGUAGGGCGCAAGCGUUAUCCGGAUUUACUGGGUGUAAAGGGAGCGUAGACGGUUAUGUAAGUCUGGAGUGAAAGCCCGGGGCCCAACCCCGGGACUGCUUUGGAAACUGUGUGACUGGAGUGCAGGAGGGGCAGGCGGAAGGCCUGGUGUAGCGGUGAAAUGCGUAGACAUCAGGAGGAACACCGGCGGCGAAGGCGGCAUGCUGGACUGAAACUGACGUUGAGGCUCGAAAGCGCGGGGAGCAAACAGGAUUAGAUACCCUUGUAGUC